Long non-coding RNA from Panicum virgatum (switchgrass), 1330 nucleotides. RefSeq lists it as uncharacterized. The transcript is spliced from 6 exons. Lineage: Eukaryota; Viridiplantae; Streptophyta; Magnoliopsida; Poales; Poaceae. The record is from RefSeq and is a predicted model, not a curated record.
ACGAAGUCCUCAAAUCCCCCAGAAACCCUAGGCCUCAAAUCUCAUCUGCAUCUCCUCAAUCUCCAUCUUCUUCUCCGCCGCACCCCCCAUCUCCUCGUCCGCCGCACCUCCAUCUCCUCCUCCGCCGACAGCCGCAUCGCCCACGACGCCUCCGCCGCCAUUCCGCCGCCUCUAUCUACCUAACUUCCCUCGGAUCUGCGCGCCGCUCCCUCGCUUCCCGGCGAGCGAGGAGGAGCGCGGCGAGGCGGAGCCACGCGCGGGCCUCAGCGAGCGGGAGGAGCGAGGCGGCAUGGGGCGGGUACAGAGCGGACUCGAGGCAGGCGGCCGCGACCGCUCGACCAGCGCCAGGUCCUGGCCGCCGCCGCCAUCCUGCACGACCUCCAGAUCUGGUCCGGCGGCUCGGGCGCACGGCACCCGACGCGCCGCCGCCUCGACGUGCUCCCUGACGCGCCACGCAGCAUCCUCGAAGCUCCUCUGCUCUUCCUGGCGCCCAGGGUCUGUCCCGUCCUCCCACUGGCCCACUGCUGGUCACCAGCCCCGCCGCAACCAGCCCUGCAUGUGCUUGUCCCCGCCGCGUCGGUUGUUAAAUCGCCUGGUUUUUGCAGAAAUAAGGAUUCUUGUGGUUUAUCAAGAUGUGUGAAGAAGAAAUUGAGUUACUGUGUUUGCUUAAGGUGGCAAAGCAGGAUCUGGUACGGGAGUAUGAUUAUGUGUUAGAAGCAAGUAACAAGAAGCGUUACAAAGAAUUGCUAUCCUGUGUUCGUUCCAGGCUGACGUGAUCAUGUCCAGAUUGAACAUUGCUGAAUACUGGAAAUAAGGCGAUCAACCAACACUCCUGAUCACGUCAGAGAAAAGCCAAUCACCAAGGAAGAAGCAUGCCAAUUCAUGAAAGGCUAUUCUGGUGGUCAUGUGUCAACUGUUGGGUGUGUAGUUGUAGCUACUCUGGUGCUUCCUGUUUACAUGUUUAGAAUAAAUUACUAGAACUCCUUUUCUAUGGCUGAGGAUCAUAUGCAAGGAACACCUUGGUAUCCAGAAUGAACACCUGCUGUACAUGCAGCAAGAAGUAUACUAACUUGGAGGACAAACUUGAGCAUUUGAUGGGUCAAAAUCAAGUUAACUAGACAUGAUGCUAUGCUAUUUUUUGUUGGAACUUGUGCAGUUGAAACUUGUCUUCUGUUGUUUUUGGAGCUAGUGCCCUGGGAAUUUUUGUACUGUUAUGAGGCCAUUGCUAGGGGGCUGGUAAUUUUUGUACUGCUGGGUGCUGCAUUUUGGUUAAUUUGGUACUGUGGUUCAAAUUAAAAUUUUGGUAAAUUUGGUACUGAUAAAUUUGUCA